AUCAAAUCAAACAUAGCCAUGCAGUCUCCUUAGACAGACACUGGCAGUAGAAUGGGUCAUACUGAAGGGCUCAGUGACUUUAAACAUGGCACUGUUAUAGGAUGCCAUGUUUACCACAGAAAGUUUGUGAAAUUUCUAGUGUGACAGAUCUUCACCAAACAACUGUAAGUGUUGCAUCACUCACUACAGAGUUCCAAGCUGCCUCGUGAAGCAACAUCAAGAACUGUACUGAAAUGGGUUUCUGUGGAGUGGUGUAAAGCAUAUUGCCACUGGAGCAAUGGAGAAGUGUUCUCUGAAGUGAUGAAUCACGAUACAAAGAGGUAAAUGGAGUUCCCCUUUACAAUCUGUGAGUGAAGUGCUCCAUGAUGCUUCAGAAAGGCAUGUGUGUGAAGAUCUAAGGCAGGGGUGCACAUCUCUGGGGCUGGAGAGCCGGUGUCCAGCAUGGUUUUGUAGCUGCCCCUCUCAAACACACCCACUGACCCUGGCAAUGAGCAUAUCAGCACGAACUGCUGCCGUGGAUGGAUUACAGUGAACGAGGACUACAGGGAGUGACCUGGUGAUUAAAUGGAG
Pygocentrus nattereri (red-bellied piranha) is the source of this 570-nucleotide long non-coding RNA. Lineage: Eukaryota; Metazoa; Chordata; Actinopteri; Characiformes; Serrasalmidae. The record is from Ensembl.